AGCAGCCGCGGUAAUUCCAGCUCCAAUAGCGUAUAUUAAAGUUGUUGCAGUUAAAAAGCUCGUAGUUGAAUUUCAGGCCUGGCUGGACGGUCCGCCUUUUGGGUGAGUACUGUCUGUGGUCGGGUCCUACCUUCUGGCGAAGCGUCAUGGCCUUAACCGGCCGUGGCGGGGAACCAGGACUUUUACUGUGAAAAAAUUAGAGUGUUCAAAGCAGGCAGUCGCUUGGAUACAUUAGCAUGGAAUAAUGGAAUAGGACAAUGGUUCUAUUUGUUGGUUUCUAGGACCGUUGUAAUGAUUAAUAGGGAUAGUUGGGGGCAUUAGUAUUCAAUUGUCAGAGGUGAAAUUCUUGGAUUUAUUGAAGACUAACUACUGCGAAAGCAUUUGCCAAGGAUGUUUUCAUUAAUCAAGAACGAAAGUUAGGGGAUCGAAGACGAUCAGAUACCGUCGUAGUCUUAACCAUAAACUAUGCCGACUAGGAAUCGGGCGAUGUUGACAAAAUGACGCGCUCGGCA
RNAcentral lists this ribosomal RNA (512 nucleotides) under uncultured Paraglomus. RNAcentral describes it as "SSU rRNA". It matches the Rfam family "Eukaryotic small subunit ribosomal RNA", at positions 569 to 1085 of the family's 1831-position model. Lineage: Eukaryota; Fungi; Glomeromycota; Glomeromycetes; Paraglomerales; Paraglomeraceae. The record is from RNAcentral.